Molecule: long non-coding RNA, 1121 nt
Organism: Anthonomus grandis grandis
Lineage: Eukaryota; Metazoa; Arthropoda; Insecta; Coleoptera; Curculionidae
Exons: 2
Source: RefSeq, a predicted model, not a curated record
CUCGUGUGAAAGUACUUGUCUUGGACCCGGAGGACCUCUCCUGAACAUUUUUUUCUGCAGGAUUGGCAAAAGGUUUUGCCUAAAACAAUUUGAAACUAGGAGAAAAGAAGGAUUUUUCAAGGGACUUUACAUUUAGCGUCGUUAAACGCAACACCGCACGACAUAAAUACCAUUUUCGGUGCCGUAGCAGACUCGUCAAUUAUUAGAUGUUUUUUAUGUGGAACGUUGUUGUAUACUCACCAGACGGAAAAUUGUAAGAUGUUUUAAAAGUGAAUUUGGCCUUGGUCAACAAAAAUAAUUUGAUUUUUAUUGUUUUCUUUUGAAUCACCUUGUAUAGCCAGCCACAUUAGUGUAAUCAUGUCCUCAAUUUUAAAUACUUUUUUGCUAUCCAUAUUUUAUCAAUAUGUUUUAUUGCUUUGAACUUUAUCUUAAUGAGGCUGACUAAUGUACAUAUUUAUACUUUGUUAACGCAUUUAUAAAAAGGCACAUCUUUUCAAUCAAUGAAAACUUCCUUUAUGUUAUUAUAUCAGGUUUGUAUCUUAAUAGAUACAAGCACUCAUGCAAAGUAGUGCAAUAAAAUUUGAAUAUUCAGUUGAAAAGUGAUAUUCAUAAAGAAAAAACUUAUAAUGAACACAUACUUCUAAAAUGUGUUUUUUUUUUAUAAAAACAAGAAUUUACACAUACUAGACAAAUAUCCAAUGAAAACUUAGUUUUUCCCUUCGAUAAUAAGGAUAGUAAUAAAAAAAUGUUGUGUCAGUCCCAAAGACCACAAAGGUGUUGUAAAAAUAUUAAAAAUUAUAAAAGAUUUUUAAAGUUGAAGAAGUAGUCCAUUCUUGCAGUGGAGUUAAUAGGUAACUAAAGAUACUUCGGUCAUCAUCCACUAAAUUUAUUUAAAAACAUUAAUUCCGACAUAUUUCAUGUCCGUCAUCAGGUAUAACAAAUUAAGGGGUUCCGUCAAUACAUCUUAUAGAUCUAGUGCCCCAGACAAGGUUAAAAUAAAUUAAGAUACAUGAGAAUGGGACCAAACAGGACAAUAAGACAACAGCUAUUAAAUUGUCAGACAUGUUAUAUGUCCGAAACAUGUCAGAUUAAUAUUUUUAAAUAAAUUUAGUGGAGAAUGA